This 31-nucleotide non-coding RNA is filed under the name Homo sapiens (human). The record is from RNAcentral. Lineage: Eukaryota; Metazoa; Chordata; Mammalia; Primates; Hominidae.
GACCUAUGAUGAUGACUGGUGGCGUAUGAGU